This is a long non-coding RNA of Lemur catta (Ring-tailed lemur), 362 nucleotides long. RefSeq lists it as uncharacterized. The record is from RefSeq and is a predicted model, not a curated record. The transcript is spliced from 4 exons. NCBI's taxonomy places the organism in Eukaryota, Metazoa, Chordata, Mammalia, Primates, Lemuridae.
CCACUACACCCAGGUGAGAUGGAGACAUUCCUGAGACAUUCAAGAGCCUAUACGAUGAGGUCUCCCAAAUGUAGAAAUUGCAACAAAGGGAGGGGAGGACCCCUGCCCUAUUCCAGCUCCAGCUGAAGCCAAAUUCCUUCCAGGAGCUGAGUAACCACCUGUUGAUUGAUUGUUACAGCGGCAAGAGCCUCUGAAAAAGCAAGAACAAACAGAUGGAAAUGUAGUCCAGCCUCUUAGAAGUGUUAAAUCAAGAGAUCAAAAAGAAAACUGGCUGUGGGCAAGUUGGGAUUUUCAAAGAAGUUUCAAACACAAAGCCCGUCUCUGGGAAGUUUGUCAGUCACAAUAUGGGCAAGUGUGGAAAA